UGGCAAAGAGAUGGGACUUAUGUCAGAGU
Molecule: non-coding RNA, 29 nt
Filed under: Rattus norvegicus (Norway rat)
Lineage: Eukaryota; Metazoa; Chordata; Mammalia; Rodentia; Muridae
Source: RNAcentral